Molecule: ribosomal RNA, 428 nt
Filed under: uncultured bacterium
Lineage: Bacteria
Description: partial 16S ribosomal RNA
Rfam family: Bacterial small subunit ribosomal RNA
Source: RNAcentral
GUAGGGAAUAUUGCGCAAUGGGGGAAACCCUGACGCAGCGACGCCGCGUGAGUGAUGAAGGCCUUCGGGUCGUAAAGCUCUGUUGCAGGGGAAUAAAAAAAUGAAGGUACCCUGUGAGGAAGGAUCGGCUAACUUCGUGCCAGCAGCCGCGGUAAGACGAGGGAUCCUAGCGUUGCUCGGAAUCAUUGGGCGUAAAGAGGGCGUAGGUGGCUUGGUAAGUCAGGUGUGAAAGCCCAGGGCUCAACCCUGGAAGUGCAUUUGAUACUGCUGAGCUUGAGUGUCGUAGAGGUUACCGGAAUACCUGGUGUAGUGGUGAAAUACGUAGAUAUCAGGUGGAACACCGGAGGCGAAGGCGGGUAACUGGACGAACACUGACACUGAGGCCCGAAAGCGUGGGGAUCAAACAGGAUUAGAAACCCCUGUAGUCC